RNAcentral lists this ribosomal RNA (505 nucleotides) under Dysdera adriatica. RNAcentral describes it as "partial 16S ribosomal RNA". It matches the Rfam family "Bacterial large subunit ribosomal RNA", at positions 1836 to 2710 of the family's 2925-position model. Lineage: Eukaryota; Metazoa; Arthropoda; Arachnida; Araneae; Dysderidae. The record is from RNAcentral.
UAUGAAAUUUUAUAAAGCAAUUCCUGCUCCAUGAACCUAAAUAGCCGCAGAUUUAAAACUGUGCUAAGGUAGCAUAAUCAUUUGUCUUCUAAUUAAAGAAUAGUAUGAACGGAAAAACGAAUUUAAAACUAUUCCAACAAUUCAAAUUGAAAUUACUCAAAAGUAAAAAUGCUUUUACAACAAAAAAAGACGACAAGACCCUGAUGAACUUUACUAAAGUUAAGCUGGGGUGGCCUUUUAAAAAUAUCUUAUUAUAAACCCAUUUACCCUAGAUUUAUUUUAAGUUACCACAGGGAUAACAGCGUAAUUUAAAUUUUAAGCUCUUAUUUAAAUUUAAGAUUAUGACCUCGAUGUUGAAUUAAACUUCUUCUAUAAGAAAAAGAAUUGAAAGAAAGUCUGUUCGACUUUUACUAUUUACAUGAUUUGAGUUCAGACCGGUGUAAACCAGGUCGGUUUCUAUCUUUUUUAAAAAUUUACCAGUACGAAAGGACCCUAUCUUUUUUCA